RNAcentral lists this small RNA (402 nucleotides) under Histoplasma ohiense. RNAcentral's name for it is "hypothetical lncRNA". The record is from RNAcentral. Lineage: Eukaryota; Fungi; Ascomycota; Eurotiomycetes; Onygenales; Ajellomycetaceae.
CAUUUCUGAAUACGCAAGCCCACCGUUUCUAAGGUGAAUCUUUACAUCUAGAAGUUGAGAUUUUCAUUCAUAGUGGGCUUUAAAAGAAAGUGGACUGGGGAUCCUGCGGCUCGCACAUUGUCCGGUACGUCUUAAACAGGGAAGUGAUUCGGCAACUCCUCCCUAACCCCCUGGCGCGAGAGAGAAUAGUCGCUCAAUGUUCUUAUUCCCUUGAGAGAAAUUCCUCUCAAAGAUCAAAUAUUAGGUAAUUAUCAUAUUAUCGAAGGAGUAUCGAUAGGACGGCGUCUGCUGAUGAGUUUUGAUCGCUUCGUCUCCAAAAGUUUCCACUUCCACAUCGAAGCUACUUACUCCAACGAAAAUAUGUUCUUUAUCACAAUUUAAUCAGAUAGUCGAGAAUGUCAC